RNAcentral lists this ribosomal RNA (1288 nucleotides) under Staphylococcus pseudintermedius. RNAcentral's name for it is "bacterial SSU rRNA". It matches the Rfam family "Bacterial small subunit ribosomal RNA", at positions 258 to 1533 of the family's 1533-position model. Lineage: Bacteria; Bacillati; Bacillota; Bacilli; Caryophanales; Staphylococcaceae. The record is from RNAcentral.
UAACGGCCUACCAAGGCGACGAUACGUAGCCGACCUGAGAGGGUGAUCGGCCACACUGGAACUGAGACACGGUCCAGACUCCUACGGGAGGCAGCAGUAGGGAAUCUUCCGCAAUGGGCGAAAGCCUGACGGAGCAACGCCGCGUGAGUGAUGAAGGUCUUCGGAUCGUAAAGCUCUGUUGUUAGGGAAGAACAAAUGUGUAAGUAACUGUGCACAUCUUGACGGUACCUAACCAGAAAGCCACGGCUAACUACGUGCCAGCAGCCGCGGUAAUACGUAGGUGGCAAGCGUUAUCCGGAAUUAUUGGGCGUAAAGCGCGCGUAGGCGGUUUUUUAAGUCUGAUGUGAAAGCCCACGGCUCAACCGUGGAGGGUCAUUGGAAACUGGAAAACUUGAGUGCAGAAGAGGAAAGUGGAAUUCCAUGUGUAGCGGUGAAAUGCGCAGAGAUAUGGAGGAACACCAGUGGCGAAGGCGGCUUUCUGGUCUGCAACUGACGCUGAUGUGCGAAAGCGUGGGGAUCAAACAGGAUUAGAUACCCUGGUAGUCCACGCCGUAAACGAUGAGUGCUAAGUGUUAGGGGGUUUCCGCCCCUUAGUGCUGCAGCUAACGCAUUAAGCACUCCGCCUGGGGAGUACGGUCGCAAGACUGAAACUCAAAGGAAUUGACGGGGACCCGCACAAGCGGUGGAGCAUGUGGUUUAAUUCGAAGCAACGCGAAGAACCUUACCAAAUCUUGACAUCCUUUGACCGCUCUAGAGAUAGAGUUUUCCUCUUCGGAGGACAAAGUGACAGGUGGUGCAUGGUUGUCGUCAGCUCGUGUCGUGAGAUGUUGGGUUAAGUCCCGCAACGAGCGCAACCCUUGAACUUAGUUGCCAUCAUUCAGUUGGGCACUCUAAGUUGACUGCCGGUGACAAACCGGAGGAAGGUGGGGAUGACGUCAAAUCAUCAUGCCCCUUAUGAUUUGGGCUACACACGUGCUACAAUGGACAAUACAAAGGGCAGCGAAACCGCGAGGUCAAGCAAAUCCCAUAAAGUUGUUCUCAGUUCGGAUUGUAGUCUGCAACUCGACUACAUGAAGCUGGAAUCGCUAGUAAUCGUAGAUCAGCAUGCUACGGUGAAUACGUUCCCGGGUCUUGUACACACCGCCCGUCACACCACGAGAGUUUGUAACACCCGAAGCCGGUGGAGUAACCAUUUUGGAGCUAGCCGUCGAAGGUGGGACAAAUGAUUGGGGUGAAGUCGUAACAAGGUAGCCGUAUCGGAAGGUGCGGCUGGAUCACCUCCUUUCUA